Molecule: unclassified non-coding RNA, 196 nt
Filed under: plant metagenome
Description: partial contains small subunit ribosomal RNA, internal transcribed spacer 1, and 5.8S ribosomal RNA
Source: RNAcentral
UCUCCGUUGGUGAACCAGCGGAGGGAUCAUUACCGUGUGCAAACUCAUACCCUUUGUGAACCUAUAUCUGUUGCUUCGGCGGCUCGCUCUCGGGCGAGCCCGCCGGUAAUAUCAGUAUCUCUGUUUGAACCCGACGAUACUUCUGAGUGUUCUUAGCGAACAGUUAAAACUUUUAACAACGGAUCUCUUGGCUCUA